GCCGGGGUGGCGAAAUUGGUCAUACGCGCACGACUUAAGAUCGUGUUCCGUAAGGAGUGAGGGUUCGAGUCCCUCCCCCGGCA
Molecule: transfer RNA, 83 nt
Rfam family: tRNA
About the family: Transfer RNA (tRNA) molecules are approximately 80 nucleotides in length.